AUUGAACGCUGGCGGCAGGCCUAACACAUGCAAGUCGAGCGGAUGAAGGGAGCUUGCUCCUGGAUUCAGCGGCGGACGGGUGAGUAAUGCCUAGGAAUCUGCCUGGUAGUGGGGGAUAACGUCCGGAAACGGGCGCUAAUACCGCAUACGUCCUGAGGGAGAAAGUGGGGGAUCUUCGGACCUCACGCUAUCAGAUGAGCCUAGGUCGGAUUAGCUAGUUGGUGGGGUAAAGGCCUACCAAGGCGACGAUCCGUAACUGGUCUGAGAGGAUGAUCAGUCACACUGGAACUGAGACACGGUCCAGACUCCUACGGGUGGCAGCAGUGGGGAAUAUUGGACAAUGGGCGAAAGCCUGAUCCAGCCAUGCCGCGUGUGUGAAGAAGGUCUUCGGAUUGUAAAGCACUUUAAGUUGGGAGGAAGGGCAGUAAGUUAAGACCUUGCUGUUUUGACGUGACCAACAGAAUAAGCACCGGCUAACUUCGU
Molecule: ribosomal RNA, 483 nt
Filed under: uncultured bacterium
Lineage: Bacteria
Description: partial 16S ribosomal RNA
Rfam family: Bacterial small subunit ribosomal RNA
Source: RNAcentral